Molecule: long non-coding RNA, 356 nt
Filed under: Erythranthe guttata (spotted monkey flower)
Lineage: Eukaryota; Viridiplantae; Streptophyta; Magnoliopsida; Lamiales; Phrymaceae
Description: long non-coding RNA (EGUT_LNC002940)
Source: RNAcentral
GAAAUAAAAUCAAAUCCCUUCCUAUUUUCCCGUUAAAUCACUAUCAUCCCAAACCCACUAUCGAAUAAACUGCAAAACCUCCCAGAACAACUUCCCGGUACGGCCGAUUGAAAGGGGAAGACGUCUGCACUGCCGUGAAACGACGAUUUUCGUGCACUCCGAGCAAGCUGUCGUAGGUACAUCGUCGCCACUCGCUGAAUCGCUAUCAUCCAUCGAUUUGUUGAUAUGUUUUGGCUAAAUCGACUAUCACGUUUGUGUAAUUGUAGAUCUGUUAUAAUCGCAUACCGAAUUCGAGCACUAAAUCAGUGAUAUUGCAACAAUUGAUGGGCAGGACAUCCACCAGAAGUGAUAUCGUC